AGAGUUUGAUCCUGGCUCAGAACGAACGCUGGCGGCAGGCUUAACACAUGCAAGUUGAACGGGAUUCUAGAGUAGCUUGCUAUUUGGAUGAGAGUGGCGCACGGGUGAGUAAUACGUGGGAACAUACCUAUUGGUGGGGGAUAACGCUGGGAAACUGGUGCUAAUACCGCAUAAGCCCUACGGGGGAAAGAUUAAUUGCCGAUAGAAUGGCCCGCGGCAGAUUAGGCAGUUGGUGGGGUAAAGGCCUACCAAACCGACGAUCUGUAGCUGGUCUGAGAGGACGAUCAGCCACAUUGGGACUGAGGCACGGCCCAGACUCCUACGGGAGGCAGCAGUGAGGAAUAUUGGGCAAGUGGGGGCAACCCUGACCCAGCCCAUGCCGCGUGAGUGAAGAAGGUUUUCGGAUUGUAAAGCUCUUUCGGGAGAGAAGAUGAUGACGGUAUCUCCAGAAGAAGCCCCGGCAAACUUCGUGCCAGCAGCGGC
This 483-nucleotide ribosomal RNA is filed under the name uncultured bacterium. RNAcentral describes it as "bacterial SSU rRNA". It matches the Rfam family "Bacterial small subunit ribosomal RNA", at positions 8 to 518 of the family's 1533-position model. The record is from RNAcentral.